Molecule: long non-coding RNA, 934 nt
Organism: Notolabrus celidotus (New Zealand spotty)
Lineage: Eukaryota; Metazoa; Chordata; Actinopteri; Labriformes; Labridae
Exons: 5
Source: RefSeq, a predicted model, not a curated record
GUUUAGCAGAGAGAAGCAGAGAGACGUGAGCAGAGUGAGAGAGAAGCAACAAGUGACCGCUGGUCUUUUCCUUGAAGAAAUCGAUUUAUUUGAAUUAUUUUGAAGUUAUGGUGGACUCUGGAGCUGGACUGGUAAACAGAGAAAGGACAGAAGAGAUGAAGAAAGCAAACAGGAGAGUGACAGAGCCCAGUCUGAAGCACUUCAGAAUAGCUUCUCAGAGAUGGAGAGAACUAAAGGAGUUAAAAUGACUGAAAACAGAUGCUGGGUGGAUCCUCUUCCUUGAAACAGAUAAUGUGGCAUCGUGUCCUCCUCCAUGUCAGAGACCAGCACCGCUGCUCUUUUGGAAGCUGUGACCACGGGCCACUUGAUGAGAGCAGCAGAGAUAAGCCAUGGAUGGUGUGAGACUCUCCAUCACAUCAGGCUUGUGCAUCCAUCAUCCCUGAUAAACGCUGACUGAAGGAGAAGUUUACCAACUUUCACACAACACCUGACCUGGAAUCCUUUCAGAACCACAUCCUCUUGUAUGCUGCAAAAUGCUUUUCAUUCAGCUCACCAGUGUAUGAGGCGCACACUCCUCUGGCACCACACCCACAGGCCUGCAGCCCUGACUCUGAUGGUAACAAUAAAGGAAUACUUGGAAGAAGAUUGAAAUCUGGGAAGAGACUUCCCAAAACAAGAACACUAAGACCUGAUGAUCAAAGAAGACUUGGACAUCUUCCUGGGAUUCCUCCACCACCUACAACAGAACUAGCACAAGCAUGCAUCCAAUGCAGAGAAGUUUGUACACAUGUAGGCAUAUUUUUCUAGCAUCACUUACAUGACAAACAAGAAUAAAUAUUAUAUAUCUGAUAUCUGCAGCAUAGUCUGAAUAUUGAUAAAGCAGCUUGGCUGAUCAUAAAAGAAUCUCUGUUGUUCAUCACACACAGCAGUUUAA